GGGGCUGGAGAUGGGGCAAUGGGGAGAGGGGAGUUCCUGGCUGAAGCUCAGGGAAUGUAACAGCUUCAAGAGAAGACCAAACCUGAGGGUGCAGGUCAGUGAUGCAGCUCUCUGAUUGCUCUGUAGCCCUGUGAAGCAAAACCCGCCUGCAACAGCAGCUGUAAAUGAGAGCCAGGACCUCCAGACGCUCCUGUGCAUCAUCCCUGCUGCUGUCUGAAUAAGCUCGUGGGUUUUGCACUAAAAAAGCCCCCCCUGUGCUGACAAAUUUGCCCUUUGUGCUCUGGCUUCAGCAAGGCCAGUAAAAAUAGUGAGGGAUGGGGCAGACACUGCUGCUUUCAGGGCUUUUCUUAGCUCCAGGCUAUGGAGUGAGGCAUCAGGUGCUGACAGCUCAGGAGGAUACAGCAGGCAAAGGGGUCUGUUCCUGAGAUACCCCCUAGACCGACAGUUUUGUGAACAUCCACAAUUUGGUAUUUUCCUUUUUUUUUUUUUUCCCCUCCUUUUUUUGGGGGUAUUUUAAAUAGCAGCAGGCAGCAUCAGAGCCACACGAUAAAGCUUCCCAAAAAAAGCAGAGUCCCAGCCUUAAUCCACACCCCAACCCUGCCAGCAGCCGGGAACCAGAGCACGUCCAUGCUCAGCAUGGAGACUUCUGUGCUCAGACAAGGAGGAUUAUGGGCAUCAUAUGACUGACUGCAAUGAUGGUGUGUGCUUAAUUGGUGAAGGGCUGCAUUUUCUAUCUUUAACACAGGACAAAGGGCCAGCGGGCUGCCUCAUGCACAUGGUUCCUUUCAGGUGUUUUCUUCACUGUACUUGACCCAGAGAGCUGUGGAUGCCCCAUCCCUGGAGGUGCUCAGCAUCAGGUUGGAUGGGGCUUUGGAUAACCUGGUCUGGUAGGAGGUGUCUACCCAUGGAAUGGUUAAAACUGGAUGGGUCCCUUCCAACUCAAUACAUUCGAUGAUUCUGUGAUGAUGCUGACACAGCUGAGCUGGAGGGCAAGGCAUGAAGCAUCGCUGGGCACAGCGUGUGAGGGCAGUAUUAAAUGCUGCACUCCCUUGGGUGCCUGCCAGCAGAUCCCAUAGGGUUUUGCAGUGUCUGAAGCCCAGGAGUGCAUCAUUCCUUCAAUCAGAAGAACACACUUGGUUGCUUCCCAUAGACACGUCCCACCACCCACUUCAGUUACCAACCUAUGUAAAUGAGUGUAGUAUAGAAUCAUAGAAUGGCUUGUGUUAGAAGGGACCUCAAAGCCCAACCAGUUCCACCCCUGCUGUGGG
This is a long non-coding RNA of Lagopus leucura (white-tailed ptarmigan), 1268 nucleotides long. RefSeq lists it as uncharacterized. The transcript has 3 exons. The record is from RefSeq and is a predicted model, not a curated record. Lineage: Eukaryota; Metazoa; Chordata; Aves; Galliformes; Phasianidae.